RNAcentral lists this ribosomal RNA (542 nucleotides) under uncultured marine eukaryote. Its description in RNAcentral is "SSU rRNA". It matches the Rfam family "Eukaryotic small subunit ribosomal RNA", at positions 612 to 1160 of the family's 1831-position model. The record is from RNAcentral.
GUUGCAGUUAAAACGCUCGUAGUCGGAUUUCGGGGCGGGCCUGCCGGUUUGCCGAUGGGUAUAUACUGGUGGGUGCGUCCUUCCUUCCGGAGACCGCGCCUCCUCUUAACUGAGCGGGCGUGGGAGACGGAUCGUUUACUUUGAAAAAAUCAGAGUGUUUCAAGCAGGCAUUUCGCUUUUGCAUGGAUUAGCAUGGGAUAAUGAAAUAGGACUUUGGUGCUAUUUUGUUGGUUUCGAGCACCGAAGUAAUGAUUAACAGGGACAGUCAGGGGCACUCGUAUUCCGCAGAGAGAGGUGAAAUUCUCAGACCCGCGGAAGACGAACCACUGCGAAAGCAUUUGCCAGGGAUGUUUUCACUGAUCAAGAACGAAAGUUAGGGGAUCGAAGACGAUCAGAUACCGUCGUAGUCUUAACCAUAAACGAUGCCAACUAGGGAUUCCGAGAUGUUGUAUUUGACUCUCGGAGCACCUUACGGGAAACUAAAGUCUUUGGGUUCCGGGGGGAGUAUGGUCGCAAGGCUGAAACUUAAAGGAAUUGACGGG